UUUUUGUAAGUUAUCAUUAUACAUGGGUCUCUUUGUUUACGAUGGAUAUCUCAAAAACUACUUGUUAAAAAUGUUUGUAUCUUUUCUAGCAUGCAAUCUCUAGACAAUGCAAAUAAUCGCAUCCUUUUCCAAUGAAAUUUGUAAUUUUAAGUCAUGAAGGUCAAUUUCAGUUUUCCACAGACACCAUGUUAAAAUCACCUCUUAAAGUUUUCAACAUCUUCGUAUCAGAAUCGGAGCUUCACUAAAUAGUGAUUGUUUUGACCUCAUCACCAAACUUCCAUUUAUAUGGAAGUAAAAAAUAAGAAAAAUAAUUAAAAACUAAGAAAACCAACAGUAAAACUUAUUCAAACUGUGAACAUCUCUGUAGUGAUUUCUUUGUGACAAACAGUCCAAAUGUAUCGGUUUUCUGUGUGUAAAGCAAAGCCAGGCAACGUGACUUACGUGGAUUGAAGUGAAAACCUCCUACUUUACAAUCCGACAUGUUAGCCUCACGGUCUGCAUGCUUCAAACCGAGCACCUCCACCAAGGACGUCACAGAGCCUCUGAUGGUACGUGAUGUGCAUUCCACUUUAGAAUAUUUUGUAACACUAGCUGGUUCAAAGAAAACAAAGACCCUGACAUUUGCAAAGAAUGAAACAAGGAAUCAAGUUUAUUGUAACGCACAGAGCAGUGAAUGCUGUCUUAUUAUACUUUACAGAUUAAGAACAUUUGCCUAGAAUGUUAAAAGUGAUCAAUCAGUGGAUCUUGCUGUGUACAUAACAUGGCAAAAUGGUGUUAACUUCAAAUUUAAGGGCAACUAAACUGAAACCUUUUGAUAAUAAACAAGAAGUUGACAAAUGAACAUAAUUUGCAAAGGAAAACUGAUAUCACAAGGUGUUUGAGAUAACACUAACACUUGUUUUCAUUUAGGUGUGAAUAAAAGGCUCGCAGUGCCGCCUGGUAAAUAUACUUACUCUGUCAAGAGUGAAGAAAAGUAGAGCGAAUUUAAAAAAAAAACAAAAACAAACUGGCUUAACCACAGCAAUAGCACUUUUUUUUUUUUUCCCUCCUGCAUAAAAUAAAAAUUUGCUUAAGGGGCCUUUCAGAUUUUGGGUUUUGCUUUACACAAGUGUGUUAUGUAAUAUAGAAAACUAAUUUGAUUGAUAUUAAUGGAGACGGUUGAUUUAUAUUUUAAACUCGCAGGCAUUGUGCAAUAUUACAAAGUGCUUUACAGAGCAAACAAAAUUACAAAAAUAGUAUCAAACAUACCAAUGCAUGAUUAGAACGGAAUAAAAACUGUAGUGCAGGUAGAAAAUAAAGACUAAUUUAAACUUCAAAGGCACAUUGCAGGAAUCUGUCACUUUUUUAUGAUUUCCUAAUAUCGGCUAUAAACAGCCAAACAUGAAGAAUAGUUCUUUUAUUUUAGGCAUGUACUUGUCAUGUGUCAGCCAGGGUAUGUUCUCCGGCUUCUGUUUAUUUUCAUUUCUAUGUCUUGUGUGUUUAUUUUCAGGUUUUUGUUUAUUGUAAUUAUACAUGAUUUGUUCUUAUUGACUUGUUAAAUUAACAUCCAUAACAUAAUGAGUUGCUCUCUGAUUCUUGUGCCUUGUAGGUGGAACACCAAGAGGUGGAUGAUGUCACUGCUGGAGGAACCCCACCUUUAUCUGCCGAGGCUAAAAGCAGAUCCUUCAGUGGUCCAUUGAUUUAACUCCAAUGAGAGGAAGGUGGGCCAGCUGAUCUCGUGUUUUCUUCUUCUGCAAGAGCAGCAGGAUCCAGCACUGCCAGGAAAAGCAUAUUCAUUAGGACUUCAAAGUAAAGACACUGCGAGGCCAGC
Molecule: long non-coding RNA, 1810 nt
Organism: Polypterus senegalus (gray bichir)
Lineage: Eukaryota; Metazoa; Chordata; Cladistia; Polypteriformes; Polypteridae
Exons: 3
Source: RefSeq, a predicted model, not a curated record